This 468-nucleotide ribosomal RNA is filed under the name uncultured bacterium. RNAcentral describes it as "partial 16S ribosomal RNA". It matches the Rfam family "Bacterial small subunit ribosomal RNA", at positions 28 to 507 of the family's 1533-position model. The record is from RNAcentral.
GACGAACGCUGGCGGCGUGCUUAACACAUGCAAGUCGAACGGAAAGGCCCUGCUUUUGUGGGGUGCUCGAGUGGCGAACGGGUGAGUAACACGUGAGUAACCUGCCCUUGACUUUGGGAUAACUUCAGGAAACUGGGGCUAAUACCGGAUAGGAGCUCCUGCUGCAUGGAGGGGGUUGGAAAGUUUCGGCGGUUGCGGAUGGACGCGCGGCUUAUCAGCUUGUUGGUGGGGUAGUGGCUGACCAAGGCUUUGACGGGUAGCCGGCCUGAGAGGGUGACCGGGCACAUGAGGACUGAGAUACGGACCAGUCUCCUACGGGAGGCAGUGGUGGGAAAUAUUGCCCAAUGGGCCGAAGCCUGAUGCAGCAACGCCGCGUGCGGGAUGACGGCCUUCGGGUUGUAAACCGCUUUCGCCUGUGACGAAGCGUGAGUGACGGUAAUGGGUAAAGAAGCACCGGCUAACUACGUG